Molecule: long non-coding RNA, 1526 nt
Filed under: Scophthalmus maximus (turbot)
Lineage: Eukaryota; Metazoa; Chordata; Actinopteri; Pleuronectiformes; Scophthalmidae
Description: lncRNA (ENSSMAG00000026657.1)
Source: RNAcentral
UCACUCUCAAAUCCCCAAUGCUUUAUGAACUGUUUGAUGUCCCAAGUGUGGAGCUCAUUCACACUAAAAUCAAAGACCUAUUGUCUCAGUUGCAGUAAGAGCAGAUAAUAUCAUAGUGUGGGUAUGGGUUAGUUUUUAAGCCUGUAGGAAAUUGUUGUUUCCACUGGGAGGUUUAUUUGAACUCAGCGUUGACUCUGCUCGCUGCCUGCUGACCAACAUCUUUACACCACUUAUUGAUUGUCAGUUGGAACGGUCUCAUAUGAUUUUGACCAAACGGACGCUGUGGGAUGAGUCCUUAGUGACUGAUUCUGCAAAUACAGUAUGACUGAGUGUUGCAAGUCAUAACCAACCAACACACAUGACAAAAAAAAGAAGAAAUUUUACUUUAAUUAUACAAAGAAACUUCAGUAACCUUCUUAAAUCAUUGAUAUUUUCCUUCUUUAAAUUAUUAAAAUUAAAAGAUCCAUCCUUCUGUCUUUGACUAGAUUUUCUGAGAACACCUACAGGGGAUUCAUCAGUUUUUAUAAUACUUUUGAUACUCUGAAACAAAUUCUUUUCUAUGUCACGAUGAUCACAUCUGUUAUGGCACUCAGCUGAGUGACUCACCAAGAAUUUCUUGAGAGACAACUCAAACUUCAUAAGCUGCUUUCAGACGUGCACUUAAGCUGCUUUCAUUUUCCUAAACUUUUCCAGAGCAGCUGUACGAGAGAACGCGAAUGUCCGCAAAUGUUGCUUCGGACAUUUUCAGGAACUGUCCCCCCGUAAAUUUCUGAGAAUGUGAGAAUACAGCAGUAAAAUCAGUUAUAAACAGAUGAGUUUGUUUUAUCUGGCACAAAUACCUCUAUCGCUUUACUCCCUAAAUGUUCAAUAUUACAAUAGUAUUUAUUAUAUAUUUAUGUAUUGUUUCUUUUCUUCCUCUGCUUAUAGAUACAACGAUACCUGUGAGGUUUCUUACAAGACUGGAGCGUUGGUCAGGAAACCAUCACCAGGGCUGUGAUACGCUGAGCCUCGCUGGAGAAUAUAAUGCAUUUUGAUGUCAAGAGAAAGUGUGUGAGGUGGCCCUGACAGGGGCUUCAUUAGAAAGGCUGCCGUUUGUUGUCUUGUCGUCAAGUCGCCAAACUGGAAUCGUUACACGGCGAACAAAAGCUCCAUCUUUAUCUCUGCUGGCUCGUUACUGAUGUACGUACGUACAUUCUGCUGCCGCAAACAGUGCUCAUUAAAUAAGUGAAAAAAGAAAAUCUACAUUAGUCAGGGAAAUGUGGAUCUCAGCGUAGCGUCCUGGUGAACAAAUGACCCCUCCUCACAGGCCUUCUAAUCAGGAAGACGGGACUUCUCCACAGUGGUCUCUCACCACGCACUCUGCUGUGUUAAAUAAUGAAUCACUCAAUCAGACAAACUUUACUUCAACUUUCAAGACAGUAAUAUGAAAUUCCAGCAAACUUUUUUGGUUAUUUUUCGAAAGUUUCCAUGCAUGAAACAAAAAUGAAAUUAAUACACUAACAGUUCUAUAUUUUCUUAUUCCUUUA